CCUACGGGUGGCAGCAGUGGGGAAUAUUGCGCAAUGGGCGAAAGCCUGACGCAGCGACGCCGCGUGAGGGAUGAAGGUCUUCGGAUCGUAAACCUCUGUCAGCAGGGAAGAACGGUCACUGUGCUAAUCAGCAGUGAAUUGACGGUACCUGCAAAGGAAGCACCGGCUAACUCCGUGCCAGCAGCCGCGGUAAUACGGAGGGUGCGAGCGUUAAUCGGAAUUACUGGGCGUAAAGCGCUCGUAGGCGGUAUGUCAAGUCAAGGGUGAAAUCCCCGCGCUCAACGUGGGAACUGCCUUUGAAACCGGCAAAAUGGAGGGUGUGAGAGGAGAGUGGAAGUUCAGGGGGAGGAGUGAAAUCCGGAGAUAACUGGGGGAA
This 376-nucleotide ribosomal RNA is filed under the name uncultured bacterium. Its description in RNAcentral is "partial 16S ribosomal RNA". It matches the Rfam family "Bacterial small subunit ribosomal RNA", at positions 338 to 706 of the family's 1533-position model. The record is from RNAcentral.